This 497-nucleotide ribosomal RNA is filed under the name uncultured bacterium. RNAcentral describes it as "partial 16S ribosomal RNA". It matches the Rfam family "Bacterial small subunit ribosomal RNA", at positions 28 to 507 of the family's 1533-position model. The record is from RNAcentral.
GAUGAACGCUGGCGGCGUGCCUAAUACAUGCAAGUCGAGCGAACAGACGAGGAGCUUGCUCCUCUGAUGUUAGCGGCGGACGGGUGAGUAACACGUGGAUAACCUACCUAUAAGACUGGGAUAACUUCGGGAAACCGGAGCUAAUACCGGAUAGCAUGUUGAACCGCAUGGUUCAACAGUGAAAGACGGUCUUGCUGUCACUUAUAGAUGGAUCCGCGCCGCAUUAGCUAGUUGGUAAGGUAACGGCUUACCAAGGCAACGAUGCGUAGCCGACCUGAGAGGGUGAUCGGCCACACUGGAACUGAGACACGGUCCAGACUCCUACGGGAGGCAGCAGUAGGGAAUCUUCCGCAAUGGGCGAAAGCCUGACGGAGCAACGCCGCGUGAGUGAAGAAGGUCUUCGGAUCGUAAAACUCUGUUAUUAGGGAAGAACAAAUGUGUAAGUAACUAUGCACGUCUUGACGGUACCUAAUCAGAAAGCCACGGCUAACUACGUG